RNAcentral lists this long non-coding RNA (941 nucleotides) under Lathyrus oleraceus (garden pea). RNAcentral's name for it is "Pisum sativum (pea) long non-coding RNA (PSAT_LNC029508)". Lineage: Eukaryota; Viridiplantae; Streptophyta; Magnoliopsida; Fabales; Fabaceae. The record is from RNAcentral.
AAAAACACCAAGCGCCGCCCUCAAUCCCAAUUCUCUAAUUUUUUUUAAGCAAAAAACCAUUCACAACAAUGAGCAACGAACACCUCUCAAUGUCUUUCUCUUUUCAUUCAGCAUUAUUUUUUUUCUAAGGAAAAAAUACUAAACCAUUCCAAUACUCACCAUUCUUUUUCAUUGAUCCUAGCCUAUCUCACUGCAACUUACAUGAAACUACAAACAACACUCCAUAUCUAUCUUCCUUCAUUUUAAAAUCACAUGAAGCCACUCUUAGUUUCCAAAUACUAUCAAUGCAAACCUCCGCCUAAACACAACAAACCACCGUGUAGAAACCGAAAACGCAACCUGCAUUAAUAACAACAUUGCGUGUAGAUUCCGCCGGCAACCACCAUUGUUCUGUCAACACUGUGCAGAGCCUAUAUUUUUCUUCACCGGAUCUAAACGUCUCACCGUGGAAGAGAAAAAUCUAUUUAUUUUGGUGAGAAGUAUAAGGACAACUUUAAUAUUUGUGACUUAAGAAAUAAGCUUUGAGAAGGGAAGAAACUUUUCUUUAUUUCUAGUUUUAAAUUUCAAACUGAACAAUGUCAACUUUAAUUGUUUAUUUUCAUAUUUAUCCAUUAUGAUAGUUUUAUUUGUGCUUUUAGUAUUUAAGGGCCAAAUAUCUAUUUUAAUGAAAGUGGAUUGUUGGUUUGUGAUUUCAUUCACCGUGUAUCAUGCAUAUUUUCUGAUCUAUGAUUUUUUAUUGCUUAAUAUUUUUUUUUAAUUAAAUGUCAUUUUAUUAUAAAUUGAUGGCUGGCUUAUAACGUUGUCAGGAGAAGAAAUAUUUCAUUAUCCAAAACUGAUUUUUUUUUUGUCAUUAGUGUUUAUGAUGAGAUUUAGACUAUUAAUGUGGUGGAUCUUGGCCUUUAAGUCUUGCACCUUCCCUUUUUUUCCUUUCGGUAUACACC